RNAcentral lists this ribosomal RNA (468 nucleotides) under uncultured bacterium. RNAcentral describes it as "partial 16S ribosomal RNA". It matches the Rfam family "Bacterial small subunit ribosomal RNA", at positions 28 to 507 of the family's 1533-position model. The record is from RNAcentral.
GACGAACGCUGGCGGCGUGCUUAACACAUGCAAGUCGAACGGAAAGGCCCUGCUCUUGUGUGGUGCUCGAGUGGCGAACGGGUGAGUAACACGUGAGUAUCCUGCCCUUGACUUUGUGAUAACUUCAGGAAACUGGGGCUCAUACCGGAUAGGAGCUCCUGCUGCAUGUUGGGGGUUGGAAAGUUUCGGCGGUUGGGGAUGGACUCGCGGCUUAUCAGCUUGUUGGUGUGGUAGUGGCUUACCAAGGCUUUGACGGGUAGCCGGCAUGGGAGGGUGACCGGCCACAUUGCGACUGAGAUACGGCCCAGACUCCUACGGGAGGCAGCAGGGGGGAAUAUUGCACAAUGGGCGGAAGCCUGAUGCAGCAACGCCGCGUGCGGGAUGACGGCUUUCGGGUUGUAAACCGCUUUCGCCUGUGACGAAGCGUGAGUGACGGUAAUGGGUAAAGAAGCACCGGCUAACUACGUG